AAGUCGUAACAAGGUAACCGUAGGUGAACCUGCGGUUGGAUCAUUAGUGGUUUUUACGUAGCGCUGUUGUAGUGUUUCUGGGGGGUGUUUGUGUGUGGUCUUUGAGUUUGUUGUUGGUUGUUUGUCUGUUUUUGUGCAUUGCCUUGUGCGAUGUCUUGUGCAGUGCCUUGUGCGGUGCCUGGCAGUACAAACGAUCGACGGCAACACUCGGACCAGACCCAAGACCUUUACAGACAAUAGACGUCUUUGCUUGCUUUGAUGAAACCAAAUCAAAAACAACUUUUGACAACGGAUCUCUUGGCUCUC
Molecule: unclassified non-coding RNA, 306 nt
Filed under: fungal sp.
Lineage: Eukaryota; Fungi
Description: partial internal transcribed spacer region
Rfam family: Eukaryotic small subunit ribosomal RNA (bases 1-46)
Source: RNAcentral